This 467-nucleotide ribosomal RNA is filed under the name uncultured bacterium. RNAcentral describes it as "partial 16S ribosomal RNA". It matches the Rfam family "Bacterial small subunit ribosomal RNA", at positions 28 to 507 of the family's 1533-position model. The record is from RNAcentral.
GACGAACGCUGGCGGCGUGCUUAACACAUGCAAGUCGAACGGAAAGGCUCCAGCUUGCUGGAGUACUCGAGUGGCGAACGGGUGAGUAACACGUGGGUAAUCUGCCCUGCACUCUGGGAUAAGCCUGGGAAACUGGGUCUAAUACUGGAUAUGACCUUUCUCCUUAUGGGGUUUGGUGGAAAGUUUUUCGGUGUAGGAUGAGCCCGCGGCCUAUCAGCUUGUUGGUGGGGUGAUGGCCUACCAAGGCGACGACGGGUAGCCGGCCUGAGAGGGUGAUCGGCCACAUUGGGACUGAGAUACGGCCCAGACUCCUACGGGAGGCAGCAGUGGGGAAUAUUGCACAAUGGGCGGAAGCCUGAUGCAGCGACGCCGCGUGAGGGAUGACGGCCUUCGGGUUGUAAACCUCUUUCAGCAGGGACGAGGCGUAAGUGACGGUACCUGCAGAAGAAGCACCGGCUAACUAUGUG